GAGCAAGUCCUCUGAGCGUGGCAUCCUACAAGCUAGUGAAACUAAGCACAAAGGAAAACAAAAGGUGGCCUCAAGUUAACGCUGGACUUUCAAGGAUACUUAAAACCUGAUGCUGAACAAUUCUUGCAUCUCUGGAAUAAAUCCUACUUGAUUAUGCUGGGAUUCUGUUCUCCUGCCUUGGACUCAAACUCAGAAGUGAAUCAAAACUGCACGAGUGGCUCUCCUGAGUCUCUAGCUUGCUGACUGCAGAUCAUGGGACUUCUCAGCCUCAGUGAGUGAGCCAGCUCCCUAAAGAAGAGAGCUGUAGCCUCCAACUCUAACUGGGGAAGUGUCUGUUUCUCCUUUCAGUCUUCCAGAGUCCAGAGGAUGGGAUGACAGAAGUUUCUAUUGAAAUCCAAGUGAGUCCUGUUGGUUGUGGCCUUGCCAAUACAUACAAGAUACAAGCAAUGAAGUCCACUGCGCAAAGAAGACGAGGAACACAAAGGUAGUGAAACAAGCUAUCUGCCUGCUCUAACACAAGGACAAAAUGAAAAGCAAACAGUGGAAGGGGAACUGCCAACCUCCUGCCCUAGAAAGGAUCUCUCUUUGGUGUCCCAACACCAUAAAGAAGUUAAUAAUGCAUAAUGAGCUUGGACAUCAAUAGUUUGAGCUGCAGUGGACUGAAAUUACCCUUCUCUUUCAUGGCACCAGGAAGGCAGAGUCUGAUCAUCGGUUCAGUGAAUUCCCACGUCAAGACAGACAUAGGUGGAAGUUUUGUGAACAGUAAGCACAUGAGCACAGGGCACCGCCAAUGCACCUUUCUUCCUCUUGCUAUUCAUCUGGAAAAAUGAUAGCUUUGUAUCUGUCCUUGAAAAACCAGCAACUAAUAGCCUGGAGAAACUACCUUUGUCUUGUAAAAUGCACAAUAAAAUCUUUGCUGUUCCCACAUAAA
This is a long non-coding RNA of Camelus dromedarius (Arabian camel), 931 nucleotides long. RefSeq lists it as uncharacterized. The transcript is spliced from 9 exons. NCBI's taxonomy places the organism in Eukaryota, Metazoa, Chordata, Mammalia, Artiodactyla, Camelidae. The record is from RefSeq and is a predicted model, not a curated record.